Long non-coding RNA from Bufo bufo (common toad), 1765 nucleotides. RefSeq lists it as uncharacterized. NCBI's taxonomy places the organism in Eukaryota, Metazoa, Chordata, Amphibia, Anura, Bufonidae. The transcript is spliced from 2 exons. The record is from RefSeq and is a predicted model, not a curated record.
CAUGCCUCACAUUGUAGCAAAAAACAUCCCAUACCAGUCCAAUCUUAGACCAUCCCUGGAAAAAACUGUAGAUAUAUGAAUUUGUUAUUUAACCACAUUUUUAAAGUAGCAAAUACAAAGUCAAAUAUUAAUUUGUCCUAAAAUAUUUUAUUUCAUGAUUAUGAUGUUACCCGUUGUACUCGCCUGAUCAAAAUAAAUACAAAAGUAUAAAAUCUGAUUCGUAUCUUCACAGUUUGAAAUGUAUCAGUGCACAAUCACAGCUAAAAUAUCAAAUCCAGUUUACAGUCGCCUUCUCAUAUGAACAUCCGUCACAUUCCCCUGGUGCUGAGCGGCUGACUUUUUUUUACAGCAGGGAAUGCACCAUAUUCAGCCGUACAAAACCCAGGAAGACAAUACACGCAGCAGAUAGAGGCACAAGUCGGGAAACAUAAGGACUCCGCUGCGGUGGUCACCGCUUAGACCCCUUUCAGUACAUAAUUACAGUGCAUCCUGUAUGCAGAGGGCACUGAAAGUAAUUAACCACCCGGAAAAUGCAUGUGGAUAUUGAAAGGCAUUCUAAUUGGAAUUUCACAGAGGAAAAAUACAUGCAUACACAUGGAGCAGUGUUUGUUGCAGUGACUGGCACACAACAGCCAAGUAACGUAUUUAGUGGUCCUGCAUUUAGAGAAAUGGCCAUCCUUGCAACAGAAGGAAUGUCCAAGUCUGCCAGACGUGAGCCAUUCCUACAGAGCUUUAGCUUGUAGAGAGACGCCCAAGCAGGCGAUUCCUAUGAUAUCCAUAUGCCCUUUGAGCAUAUGGAAAGGGGUUGUCUUAGUUGUUUACCAGUUACUUAAAUGGAUUUUCUCCUCAUAAUCAACCCCUUUUCCGCAAGUCUGGCUCAGACAGUGGAUUCUGAUGGGAGAGCCCGCAGCAUUGCAAGGAAAAUGCAGUAUGACACACUGGCCAUUCAGAUGAAUGGUUAUCUAAGUAAAACAUGGCCUCUUCAAGGCCACGACAUCGAUAUAUCAAACUCUAAAAAAAAAAAAAGCAUAUGGACUAGGGUUGUCAAGACAUACCUUUAAAAGCAGGCGUAUUAGGUUUCAUCUUUUUCAUUAAAUAUCUAGAGUUUUUUUUUUUUUUUUGUUUACUGCAAAUGUGUAUGGUUGCUGCCAUUUUCAAUAUUUUAUCACUAGGCAGGCUGUACAGCAACAGAAUGUCCUGCCCAGGAUUCCUAGUCGGUACAGAAAUGGAAAUAAUGCAAUAUAUCUAAUAUCACCUUAAAGCCCAAUACUGGUCAAAAUGUGCACUGUGUGAAUGAGGCCAAAAUGCCGGAUGUUUCCCCGUUAGAUUUUGUUUUUCCCCCCAUAGUGAAAAUUUAAAAAAAAAAAAAAAAAAAAUAUAUGUUUGUAAAAUAUAUAUGACAAGUUCAUACAGUCAAAGUGGAAUUGAAUCAUCCAUUAAAGACCCAACUUUCCUUAGUGGUAUCAGCUCACUGUACAUUGUACCAUUUACUGCAAUAUAACCUGCUCCACCUGUUUGUUCAAAGCAGCUGGUUGGAAACUACGGAUUUGUGUACAAAGUAAUAGAAUGAUCAGGUCCAGAAACAAAAAAGAUUUGACAAAGUUAUAUGAAAGUGGUCGCUGCAGAAGGAGUAUCGGGGGAGUAAGAGAAGUCCAGAGCAGGGCACGUAGAUGAAUCAAGGACAAACUCAAGUCCAAGAGGGAAACACAAUAACAGGUAAGGCACAUGUGGAACCGGAAAGAACAUGGAUUUCUUCCCAUAAAAA